UACGUAGGGUCCUAGCGUUGUCCGGAAUUAUUGGGCGUAAAGAGCUCGUAGGCGGCGUGUCGCGUCGGAUGUGAAAGCCCGGGGCUUAACUCCGGGUCUGCAUUCGAUACGGGCAUCACUGGAGUUCGGCAGGGGAGACUGGAAUUCCUGGUGUAGCGGUGAAAUGCGCAGAUAUCAGGAGGAACACCGGUGGCGAAGGCGGGUCUCUGGGCCGAUACUGACGCUGAGGAGCGAAAGCGUGGGGGAGCAAACAGG
RNAcentral lists this ribosomal RNA (255 nucleotides) under uncultured bacterium. RNAcentral's name for it is "partial 16S ribosomal RNA". It matches the Rfam family "Bacterial small subunit ribosomal RNA", at positions 524 to 776 of the family's 1533-position model. The record is from RNAcentral.